ACGAACGCUGGCGGCGUGCUUAACACAUGCAAGUCGAACGGAAAGGCCCUGCUUUUGUGGGGUGCUCGAGUGGCGAACGGGUGAGUAACACGUGAGUAACCUGCCCUUGACUUUGGGAUAACUUCAGGAAACUGGGGCUAAUACCGGAUAGGAGCUCCUGCUGCAUGGUGGGGGUUGGAAAGUUUCGGCGGUUGGGGAUGGACUCGCGGCUUAUCAGCUUGUUGGUGGGGUAGUGGCUUACCAAGGCUUUGACGGGGAGCCGGCCUGAGAGGGUGACCGGCCACAUUGGGACUGAGAUACGGCCCAGACUCCUACGGGAGGCAGCAGUGGGGAAUAUUGCACAAUGGGCGGAAGCCUGAUGCAGCAACGCCGCGUGCGGGAUGACGGCCUUCGGGUUGUAAACCGCUUUCGCCUGUGACGAAGCGUGAGUGACGGUAAUGGGUAAAGAAGCACCGGCUAACUACGUG
This 467-nucleotide ribosomal RNA is filed under the name uncultured bacterium. RNAcentral describes it as "partial 16S ribosomal RNA". It matches the Rfam family "Bacterial small subunit ribosomal RNA", at positions 29 to 507 of the family's 1533-position model. The record is from RNAcentral.